This 102-nucleotide non-coding RNA is filed under the name Paenibacillus sp. RNAcentral's name for it is "Guanine sequence". It matches the Rfam family "Purine riboswitch aptamer". Rfam says of the family: Riboswitches are metabolite binding domains within certain messenger RNAs that serve as precision sensors for their corresponding targets. Allosteric rearrangement of mRNA structure is mediated by ligand binding, and this results in modulation of gene expression. Lineage: Bacteria; Bacillati; Bacillota; Bacilli; Caryophanales; Paenibacillaceae. The record is from RNAcentral.
AACUUUCAAUUAAAAACGACUCGUAUAAUGCCGGGAAUAAGGCCCGGAAGUUUCUACCCGGAAACCGUAAAUUUCCGGACUACGAGGGAAUACCGCAGGGGA